UUUCCGUUCUGUUGAACCAGGAAGUUAAAGAACUUUAUCCGCUUCUUCUCCUCACAGUGAUGAGAGUAAAAUAGAUCGUUUGUGACGAGAAGUGAUUAAGUCAUUUCGAUAUUUGUGAAUCGUAUAAGUUGUUGCAGUUAUUGAAUUAGUUGUCUCAGUAUAUUUAUUGUCUGCGUCUGAUUCAUUUAUUUCUCUCUUCAUUGACAUCAUGGGACGUUCCCCUUUAGCUGUCAGUCCCUUUACAAAGUGACGCGUGGAAUUAAAGAUGGAGAGGCUCCCGGAGAUUUCCCACUUGUUCCGGCCUCACAUACACCCGCCUUUUAUCUACGGCUUUGUGUUACUAAACAAAGAGAAUUUAUAAUAAUGUCGAAAGAAACAAAAGCGUAAACAUGUGGUGAUUAUGUUGAGCCCACUGAGCACCAGCUUAUAGUUACACUACGUCUGAGUCGCAGGGAAUAAGCUGAGUUUUCAUUGAGACAGACGUGAGACAGACGUGAGAGACAGACGUGAGACAGACGCCAGUGAGAACUGUUGGGAGGUCUGUGCAUGGCUGUUUUAUUGAACAUACAGAAGCUGCUGUAGAAUUGUUCGUUGGAUUUAUUGUCGUGUACAAUAGUCUGGUUGUAGGAAGCCCUGGUAACAAUCGUCAUGAGGAUGAAACGUCUGAAGAGAAUGAUUUCUGGGUAACAUGACAACACAAUUUAGGAAGAACAUUUGGAUAGAGGUGAUUUCUUUAUUGUUGAUCCGAUAGCGGAAGGAGAGACAAAGCAGAAAUCUCUUUCAUCCAAUAAAAGGAUCACCAAAGACUUGUACAAAAGGAGGGUCUCUGGUGUGAUUGUUGUAGGGAUGAAAUAUAAUCCAGGAUUGGGUUUGGGGGUCAGCCAGGAUUUGGCCUUUCAGCAGGAUUCUGAUUCGACUGAACAAUUAGAGAUGCAACGUAUCCACUAUUUUGGAUUUGGCCGAACCCCCCGAAUCCUUCGCAAAAGAUUAGGCCGAAUCAGAAUCCUAAUUUGCAUAUGUGGGCGGGUACGAAACCACAUGACUGUCACAAAACAAGGGAAGUAGCAGCAAUAGGCUAUUUAGACAAUUAGAUGUCAACACAAUGUAGUUGGUUAUUUAUUAACAGGAAACUGUGAUACAAAUACUAAUUGGAACAUUGUGUUUUGUUCAAUUCUUUAUCAAUGGAAUCCACAGGCACAAGGGGAAGACAAUGACAGGGGCCGUUUGUUAAUAUUAACCGUGUACAUUAUGAAGAAGAAAACUGAAGGCUAAAUAUCUCAAACACUGAAAUCUGUUUAAUUCUUGUAUGGAAAAUAGAUUCUCAUAAUAACUGGAGGAGCACUGAUCUCUCAGCCCAGUAAGGACUAAUUCAACUUUAAUAUUGUUUGUAUUUUGUACCGACUAAAACAUCCCCUUUAUACA
Xenopus laevis (African clawed frog) is the source of this 1422-nucleotide long non-coding RNA. RefSeq lists it as uncharacterized. The transcript is spliced from 5 exons. The record is from RefSeq and is a predicted model, not a curated record. NCBI's taxonomy places the organism in Eukaryota, Metazoa, Chordata, Amphibia, Anura, Pipidae.